RNAcentral lists this non-coding RNA (24 nucleotides) under Mus musculus (house mouse). The record is from RNAcentral. RNAcentral also lists the same sequence under 1 other name. Lineage: Eukaryota; Metazoa; Chordata; Mammalia; Rodentia; Muridae.
GGUAUGGUUCUUAAGCACCCAGAA